Molecule: long non-coding RNA, 2145 nt
Organism: Homo sapiens (human)
Lineage: Eukaryota; Metazoa; Chordata; Mammalia; Primates; Hominidae
Product: MIR4500 host gene
Source: Ensembl
ACAUUCGUAGGAAGAGAGAGAAGUCUUGGACCAUGUGUGUAAUUCGAGCGUGGGACUGUGCAAUUCUCGGAUUGGGAAAGGGAGGAGUGGAAAUAACCCCGGCAGUGCCAGGCUUGCUGGUGGUCAGGAACAGAUGAUUCCAGCCCUGUGCUGAUCGCCUGCCUUCCUCCUGCCAUUCAGAAUGCUGCUGUCUCGUGUACUUACUGUUAAGGAUCCUGGAAAAGGGAGUGGUUCCUCCUAGCUGCAAACAAGGGCGCUACUUUUCUUUUCUCUUUAAUAGAAUUACGUUUUAUAGGUGUGUCUAGGCAACACAAGGGAAUGUGAAAGACUUUCAGAGGGAAUGUUUGUGAAUACAUCUGGUGUGUACUAAAAAGCUGGAAAACCCCUAAGUAAAUGCAAUAUCGAUAGAAAGCGAGUUUCUUGAAGAGUCAUCUGCUAAACUCCACUAGAGUCAUCUCUACAGAUGCAACUGACUCACUUAAAAUAGCUGUGUGGAUAUAGAACUUUUAUCAACUACUAUUUACUAAAUUAUAUUGGUGUGUUUGUCCUCAUCUUAGAAUAGCAUAUCAAUAGAUGCUAUAAAAACAUAAGAGGGUGUGGUUAAGAGAAAAAAAAAUUGCCAUUAAGGAAUCAGCAAAUAGGAUGUCUGAAGUGAGGAUAUAGCACCUAUCUCUGAGAUUAAAGUCAUCUGAUCAAAAAUGAUGCCUCUGAGACUAUAACAAAGGAAUGAAUAAUGAAAUAUAAGAAUGGGGAUUCUGCACUAACUCUAUGGGGAAGAAAACAAUGUCUCUGUUCAUCAUGAGAAAUGCUCAGCGACUGCAGACAUAAAGAGAAAGCUUUCAAUUAAAGUUUCAAUGAUGGGAUAGGAACUGAGAAGUCUGUGGAGUUUUCUGCCUAGGAGUACCCUUGGAAAAGCCACUGCUAUGCCCAACCAGCACUGGGAAUCCCAGAUCACAUGCAAUCAUAGGAGUUGCCCUGGAGGCAGAAGCUCAGCACAUGUUCUGGUACAAGGAGAUUACAGUGUUGUGCAAAGCAAAGGGAUGAAUGAUGCCCAACUCUCUAACAUGGGCCUCGGUUUCCACAUCGAGGUUGGAAAUGAGCUAGGAAGCAGAUCCACCAUAAAUGGAGAAAGAAGAGAAACAAGUUGAGCUUUUAAUGACCCCGUAGCCUGACUCUUUGGUAUGGAAAUGGAAAGAGAUCCUCAUGGAAACAUAAAUAAAAUAUAUCACAUGUAACUUAUACCAAUAAUUAUUUUCUCCCCCAGUACCUCAAUUUUGCCCAGAUUGGACUCUAUUUUAUUUCCUUAUUUUUCCACAGUAAUUUACUUAAGUAAAACCAGGAUUUAUUUUAUUCAUCUCCAUGUCAGUUGCUAAGUCCAAGGGAUGUAUAUAGUUUAAAAAAUAUCACAAAGGAUGAUAUGGUGAAAUUGAACAACACAUUAUUACCUGAUGUACAGUCAUUGAUUUUGUAUACUAGCCUUUACCCCUGGCUACUGAUAAUUUUGGAUUUUGAAGAUUCAAAGACAGAGACUUGUAAAUACUUUAGUUUUUACACUUCUUUAUCAUACUCAUACCUGGGAUGGAAAAGUAUCAUUUAAUAUAUUAAGAACAUUGUUAUAGUACAUGUAUUUAAAUAACUCACAAGAGCAAGUAAUCUUACCUCAUGUCAUCUAUUUUUGAAAAAAUAUUUUGUGUAUUUCCACAUGCUUCUUCCAGAUGACCUUUAGCAAAACUUUGUGAAGUUUCAUUGUGGCUGUUGUCUUAGAAAGAUGGUCUUGUUAAUAAGGUCAGUGUUUUAGCCUUGCAAUAUAAGAUUAUGUGCAUUUGUUUAGAGGGAGACUUUAGGAUACAGCGAAGUGUUUUACAAAUGUUUACCAUUUUUAUUCUUAUUAGAUUUUUGAAAGUAUUUGGUUUAAAAUUUUCUUCUUUUUAUUCAACCAGCUCUUUAAAUUACCCAUCAAUUCUUGUUAAGAGUGUGUAUUGUAUAUCUCUCUAUACAUUUCAUGUAUUUUUGUAUGAAUUGUGCUAUUUUUAUAAUUUUUCUAUUUAGCCUCUGUAUCCAAUAUGAUUCAAUGUAUACAUGGAUGCCAUACGUAGGUACUGAUUAUUUCCUCUUUUAUUAUUAAUAAAUUCUAAUUUAUUUCAA